Molecule: long non-coding RNA, 836 nt
Organism: Apodemus sylvaticus (European woodmouse)
Lineage: Eukaryota; Metazoa; Chordata; Mammalia; Rodentia; Muridae
Exons: 2
Source: RefSeq, a predicted model, not a curated record
GGAGGAGGAGGAGAUCACCAAAGUAGACAUGUUACAGUUGCUUCUUCCCCUGAACUGGCAGAGCCCAACAGAAAGAGGGCCUUUCUUACACAUGCUGGAUGCCAAAGGGAUGAAGCUGAGGAUUCGUCUCCAUCUCCACCACCCCACCACCACCCUACCACACAUACCCUAUACUACUAUUCAAAUUUGAGCUGGAGUUAGAGGUUACAAGUCAACAUUCACCUUGGUUCAGCAUCACUAUCUGCCAGUCCUGGGCCAGUGCUGCUGGCAGUGGGCAGAUCGCUAAGAUGAGCCACAGACACACUUUCCUCCUUACAAGGUCAUCCCUGGACUUAUUGUCUCGCUUUCUUUCAAACAGCUGAGGCUCCUGCACAGGACAAAGUGUCUCCUCUUAGUCUUCCUGCAAGACAGGGAGCCAGAAUUUGGAACUCUUAGCUCAUCUGAACAACGCCAAGGCCUUCUUUCCACUGUACCCUCAAGAGACCUCGAAAGCAUCGGCAGCCAGAUCUGUGCCCUCCCCAACACGAGGCUGGCUGAGCUUCUGGGCAUGAACAAGAAGGCAUCUCAUAAACAGAAUGUGGAUUGGGAAGACAAUGGAGAGAAUGGGAGUAAUGGCCUACAAAUGAAAGACAAUUGAAAUGGAAAAUGGACUGAAAUUUACACUUUUUAGAAAGGAGAGGCCACCAUCUAUGGCUGCAUUCCAUUCCAGCUCCCAUGCCCCAUCACUGUACCUUUUUUUUUUAACCCUCCACAUCUUCUGAUAAGUGUUAACACCACUUUAAACCUCUGGGCUGCUUCUCUCAGUGUGUCAUUUAAAUAAGGACAUGGCUUCUAGA